AGCUCUCAGAGUGUAUAUCUGUCUUGCUGUAGUUAAAAAGCUCGUAGUUGGAUCUGUGCCUUGAGAAACAGUUCACCUCUGUGUGAUACUGCUUUCCGAGGUGUAAUUCGUGGGUGUUUUCUUACGCUUACGAGAGUUACUCUGAUUAAAUCAUAGUGCUCAAUACAAGCGUUUCGCUUGAAUGUUUUUGCAUGGAAUAAUGGAAAAGGACUUCGGUUCUUUACUGUUGGUUUCGGAAUUGAAGUAAUGAUUAAUAGGGGCCAACGGGGACAUACGUAUCGUUGCGCGAAAGGUGAAAUUCAUGGACCACAGCGAGACGUUCAAUAGCGGAAGCAUUUACCAAGAAUGUCUUCA
This 354-nucleotide ribosomal RNA is filed under the name uncultured eukaryote. Its description in RNAcentral is "SSU rRNA". It matches the Rfam family "Eukaryotic small subunit ribosomal RNA", at positions 587 to 972 of the family's 1831-position model. The record is from RNAcentral.